CAGGUAAAAGGCUACUGAAGCACGGAGAUUUUUGUAAUUUCUUGGAAAGAUUAAGCCAAUGGACCCAGGAUGCAUGCUUCAAGUGUCUACAGAUUACAGGAAACAUGUUUCUUCAAGUGCCUACAUGCUACAGGAAGUAAAGCUUCUUAUAGUAGUCAUCAAACCUAGAUACCAAUUUAUUGGAAUUAUUAUAUUUUUUAUAAAAGUACUCAAACCUGGAUAUCAAUUUAUCGGAUCCAUUAAGGAGAGGUGACACUCUUGGAGAGUCAAGUAAUGCAAUAUAUUCUCUCUCUGCCAGAACCAAACUGUACCAGCACCAACGAACGCCUUUGUGCUAGGAAUAAAUAGGAUGAAUAAAUCUCUACCAGCACCAACAUUGACAGCUUGUUUGUUCACACGUAGCAAUGUUUUGCAUUAAACUGAACCAUGCCAAUACAUAAAACUUCAACAUGAGACUUUGUAAAAAGUUAAUCUUUGCAAUACGACAAAGGUUCACAACAUCAAAUGAUCACAGUCUAGCCAAGGUUACAUAAAAACUGAAUCUUUGCAUUAUUAGCACCACCCAACAAAGAUUUUCAUUGCUCAAGGAUCUUCCUCUGUCCGUUCAGCAUCACACUUCACCCAAUAUUUCCUGCAAAAUAUGAUGAGAAAUGGUGACAUAUGGUCUCAUAGGGCACAAUGGUUGUACAAAUUGCUCAAAGUGAAUACAUAACUGAAUCUUUGCAUUAUUAGCACCACCCAACAAAGAUUUUCAUUGCUCAAGGAUCUUCCUCUGUCCGUUCAGCAUCACACUUCACCCAAUAUUUCCUGCAAAAUAUGAUGAGAAAUGGUGACAUAUGGUCUCAUAGGGCACAAUGGUUGUACAAAUUGCUCAAAGUGAAAGAUGUGACAGCCAAUAAGACAAAUCAAAGUGUGACACGAUAAGCUUUAGCUUGCAACAAUCUUUACAAAGGGUAAAAAAAAUACCUCAACUUGAUAUAGAAGUUGCUCAAAGGUUAACUUGCACUUCAUUUGCACAAUUAUCAUGAAUCGAAAGGUAGUGGCGACAAACCAGCAACAACCGAGUAGGUUAAGUAGGACCAAAACUAAGUCGAUAAGAGACUACAUAUUAAAACAGAGGAUAUAUAUAGGAAAAUGGGUUGGUACACCUAGGAGUACAUACUCCUAUGUCAUGUGUCAUUUCUUUUUUUAUUUUCCACUGUUGUUUAUUGUGCCAUCGCAACAAACCUCCUUAGCAUUUAGUUAGUUGAUUAGGUGCUAAUCAGAAGUGGUCCCGUGGAGUUUGAAAGUUUGUUCCAUACUAAUAGGGAUAAGGCACAUUCAGAUUCAAAUCUUGUUAGCACCGCAUUAACAUGCAUCGUUCUUCUUUCAUUAAAAUCAAUCCACCUACUGAUUAGGGCUUGGAGACAAGACGCAGCCGGCAGCCGCUUGUUGACUCGACGACGAGGCACAUUAGAUGUGGUUGGCGCAACUCAAACUUGAAGAUGAGAAGAUGAGAUGCUGCCGACAAUCUAACUCGUCAAGGUGCAUCAUUUAUUCAAUAUUAUUUCUGGUCUACGAACUUCAGAUUGAGCUGCAAAAGCAUGCAUCAACCACUCUUUCCGUGACUAAUUCAUUGCUUGCUCAGGUAGGCAUCUAGUUGGCUGUACCCCUUAUCUAAGCUCUAUGCAUGCAGGUAGAAUUUCCCAAGGUGUCAUCUGGAGGCCAUGGAUAGCAUGGCGUGGAGUGCCUGCGAUUUCGAUGCGUUGGACUCCUAACAUCAUGCUGCCCACCGUGCGUGUGCUUGCCGGCGACAAACAGAACAACAACAAGAAGAUGCUUUUGCAGUGAAGAACAAAUGAAUGUAGACUAGAUAUCCACUCCAGAAUGCAUAUGUAAUACGUGCAUGCUUAUCAUACAUUUCUCUAUGGAUGUAUCAAAUUUAGUGAAUAUACUUCAAUUUCAGCAGAGUAUAUACUUCAUUCAAGUGGAUAUACUUCAAAUCAAUUUCAGCAGAGAGUAUGCAUCAUUCGUAUGAACAACUGAAUAUACUGCUAUAUCAGCUGGGUAUAUCCUUUUUUUGGUCGAGAAGUAUAUACUCCAAUAAAAAAAAGUAUAUACUCUCCAAUUAAAAAAUUAAGUACAAACUCCUAAACCCUUGGCCACAGUACUCCAAUUAAAAUUUAAAUAUUUAGUAUAUACUCUUCUCGCUAGUACUAGAUACUCAUUGAUCGCAAUGCUAAUUGCACAAGAAAGCAACUAAAAAAUUGCACAAGAAAACCGUAUACUUUUGUUAUAAGCAGUAUAUACCGGUCUAAAAAUAUAUACAUCACAAAAUAGUAUAUAAUCCUACUUUUUUUGAAGUAUAUACUCCUAUGAAGAAACGACUGUAUAUACUUCUUUUUGUGGUAGGUUGUUCUUUGAUCGGAGAGUAGUAUAUAUGUCGCAUAUACUGCAAAAUAGUGCUUCCAGCACACAUUGAUAGGGAACAAGAAUUAGUUAUUCCUCAUGUAUGAAUGAUGCUCAAAGCAUUCAUUGUUAAUCUAGGACUCCCGACUGAUGUUCUUGAAUUACAACUCUACACAUGGCCUACAAGCAGUCACCCAGUCACUUAGCUAAUCCAAACAGAGCAAAAUUAUCCGAAGAACCUGUCUAGAUCUUAUGGAGCAAUAUAUUGCAGCAAUCAAAGGAAAUAACAACCUAGUCCAUAUGACAAUGUUGUGACAAUAUAUCCAAGCAAAUAUAUUGCAGCAACCAACUGAAGAACCACUCUGAUUGAAAGAGGCGAAGCAUACCCUGCUUGCUCCCAGACCAAGAGCCCCGGUGCCUCUUGCUCCUUAGUCCUCCGGGGGUGGAGUUGACCUACCGUGGGCUGCCCAGAUCGGGUGGCUGGAGUGAGGCGUCCUGCUGAACAGGUGGGUUCAGGUUAGGGUUAGGGUUCAAGAAGAAAAACGCAUCAGAGAGAGGGAGGGGGGAGAAGAGAGGUGGGGAAGGGAGCGAGAGGAGAAGCCUUACCGGUGGCGAGAGGGACAGGUAACCAAGACGUCGGAGUGUCCUUGCGACCUUGCCGGAGAGGGACAGUACGGGGCGGAGAUGGACCGGGACCGGGACGGGACGGGGCGGGGUGGAGGAUAGGGUGGGUGGCGGCGGGGUGGAGGAGAGGGAUCGAGAGAGACAGAGAGCUGCGUCGGGCCUCCAAAUCCAGACAAAUGAGGGCAUCUCCGGCCGUUGGCCCUCCAGGAAGGGCAAAAAAUCGCCCCUGGAGGCGCACCGGCGCUAAGCCCCG
This 3265-nucleotide long non-coding RNA is filed under the name Triticum aestivum (bread wheat). Its description in RNAcentral is "long non-coding RNA (TAES_LNC014671)". Lineage: Eukaryota; Viridiplantae; Streptophyta; Magnoliopsida; Poales; Poaceae. The record is from RNAcentral.